RNAcentral lists this ribosomal RNA (505 nucleotides) under uncultured bacterium. RNAcentral's name for it is "partial 16S ribosomal RNA". It matches the Rfam family "Bacterial small subunit ribosomal RNA", at positions 28 to 507 of the family's 1533-position model. The record is from RNAcentral.
GACGAACGCUGGCGGCGUGCCUAAUACAUGCAAGUAGAACGCACAGUUUAUACCGUAGCUUGCUACACCAUAGACUGUGAGUUGCGAACGGGUGAGUAACGCGUAGGUAACCUGCCUGGUAGCGGGGGAUAACUAUUGGAAACGAUAGCUAAUACCGCAUAAUAUUGAUUAUUGCAUGAUAAUUAAUUGAAAGGUGCAAUUGCACCACUACCAGAUGGACCUGCGUUGUAUUAGCUAGUAGGUGAGGUAACGGCUCACCUAGGCGACGAUACAUAGCCGACCUGAGAGGGUGAUCGGCCACACUGGGACUGAGACACGGCCCAGACUCCUACGGGAGGCAGCAGUAGGGAAUCUUCGGCAAUGGACGAAAGUCUGACCGAGCAACGCCGCGUGAGUGAAGAAGGUUUUCGGAUCGUAAAGCUCUGUUGUAAGAGAAGAACGGGUGUGAGAGUGGAAAGUUCACACUGUGACGGUAUCUUACCAGAAAGGGACGGCUAACUACGUG